UAUCACUACAGCCGUUACUAGGGUUCCCCUUCACACCUCAUCUAGGUCUGUUUAUAAAAACCUUAUAAGUGCAAGCAGCCUCCACCAUCAAAAUCAAAAUGUUCAAAACCCUUCACUUUAGAAACCAUGAAGAAGUCUUCUGUGAUCGGUAGAUCUGAUUUCAUCGCUACCACAAACAUCUAUGAUGAUUCCGCUGAUCGGAUUAUCAUGUCUCGAGCAAUGAAUUCAGAGCUAUCGAUCGUGGAAACUUUCAUGUUUUGGAGACGGAUCUGUAGUGUGUCAACAUCUGGCAAUUCGAUUGUUAUUGUAGAUCUGAUAAUAUUGUUUCUGGUAUGAAUUUGUUUGAUAAAAUGGUAUGAAAUUUAUUCUUAGAUGAUUGUGUGAAUUUGUUUGAUAACAAUUAAGUAUAGGUAAUUUCGGUUGUAUAAUUGGUUUGAUUGUGCAAUUCAGAUCUAAUUUAAUUA
Helianthus annuus (common sunflower) is the source of this 464-nucleotide long non-coding RNA. RefSeq lists it as uncharacterized. The record is from RefSeq and is a predicted model, not a curated record. The transcript is spliced from 2 exons. NCBI's taxonomy places the organism in Eukaryota, Viridiplantae, Streptophyta, Magnoliopsida, Asterales, Asteraceae.